RNAcentral lists this ribosomal RNA (253 nucleotides) under uncultured bacterium. RNAcentral describes it as "partial 16S ribosomal RNA". It matches the Rfam family "Bacterial small subunit ribosomal RNA", at positions 524 to 776 of the family's 1533-position model. The record is from RNAcentral.
UACGGAGGGUGCAAGCGUUAUCCGGAUUCACUGGGUUUAAAGGGUGCGUAGGUGGGCUGGUAAGUCCGUGGUGAAAUCUCCAAGCUUAACUUGGAAACUGCCGUGGAUACUAUUAGUCUUGAAUGUUGUGGAGGUAAGCGGAAUAUGUCAUGUAGCGGUGAAAUGCUUAGAUAUGACAUAGAACACCGAUAGCGAAGGCAGCUUGCUACACAAUUAUUGACACUGAGGCACGAAAGCGUGGGGAGCAAACAGG